RNAcentral lists this transfer RNA (76 nucleotides) under Chloroflexota bacterium. Its description in RNAcentral is "tRNA-Trp". It matches the Rfam family "tRNA". Rfam says of the family: Transfer RNA (tRNA) molecules are approximately 80 nucleotides in length. Their secondary structure includes four short double-helical elements and three loops (D, anti-codon, and T loops). Lineage: Bacteria; Bacillati; Chloroflexota. The record is from RNAcentral.
AGGCCCGUAGCUCAAUUGGCAGAGCACUGGUCUCCAAAACCAGGGGUUGCACGUUCAAGUCGUGUCGGGCCUGCCA